RNAcentral lists this unclassified non-coding RNA (345 nucleotides) under soil metagenome. Its description in RNAcentral is "partial contains 5.8S ribosomal RNA, internal transcribed spacer 2, and large subunit ribosomal RNA". The stretch from base 1 to 119 matches the Rfam family "5.8S ribosomal RNA", at positions 35 to 154 of the family's 154-position model. The record is from RNAcentral.
GAUGAAGAACGUAGCAAAAUGCGAUAAGUAAUGUGAAUUGCAGAAUUCAGUGAAUCAUCGAAUCUUUGAACGCACAUUGCGCCCGCUGGUAUUCCGGCGGCAUGCCUGUUCGAGCGUCAUUUCAACCCUCAAGCCCCCGGGUUUGGUGUUGGGGAUCGGCUCUGCCUUCUGGCGGUGCCGCCCCCGAAAUACAUUGGCGGUCUCGCUGCAGCCUCCAUUGCGUAGUAGCUAACACCUCGCAACUGGAACGCGGCGCGGCCAUGCCGUAAAACCCCAACUUCUGAAUGUUGACCUCGGAUCAGGUAGGAAUACCCGCUGAACUUAAGCAUAUCAAUAAGCGGAGGA